This 331-nucleotide ribosomal RNA is filed under the name uncultured Bacillus BS3. Its description in RNAcentral is "bacterial SSU rRNA". It matches the Rfam family "Bacterial small subunit ribosomal RNA", at positions 29 to 348 of the family's 1533-position model. The record is from RNAcentral. Lineage: Bacteria; Bacillati; Bacillota; Bacilli; Caryophanales; Bacillaceae.
ACGAACGCUGGCGGCGUGCCUAAUACAUGCAAGUCGAGCGGACCGGAUCAGGGCUUGCUCUGGUUUGGUCAGCGGCGGACGGGUGAGUAACACGUGGACAACCUGCCCGCAAGACCGGGAUAACUCCGGGAAACCGGAGCUAAUACCGGAUAACACCGAAGACCGCAUGGUCUUCGGUUGAAAGGAGGCCUUUGGCUGUCACUUGCGGAUGGGCCCGCGGCGCAUUAGCUAUUUGGUGAGGUAACGGCUCACCAAGGUGACCAUGCGUAUCCGGCCGAAAAGGUGACCGGCCACACUGGGACUGAAACACCGGCCAGACUCCUACGGGAGG